RNAcentral lists this long non-coding RNA (2454 nucleotides) under Androctonus crassicauda. Lineage: Eukaryota; Metazoa; Arthropoda; Arachnida; Scorpiones; Buthidae. The record is from RNAcentral.
ACCCUGGUUUCAUCCUCGUUUAUGUACUUGUUUUUUUGUUAUUUUUUUUUUUUUUUAACUCGGUGAGGCAGGUAGCGGCUGGUUUCGGAAGAGUGCCAGAGAAUUUUUUCGGGCGUGGUUCUCUUUCGAACGCGAUCGAUAGGUCGUGUUAUGUAAGAGAUUCCAGACCGUCUUAAUUUUAACGAGGGAGUUUUGGAACAGAGCGGAUUUGGAUAGACACAAAAGACAUGUACUAGUUUCGUGAUAGUUAUUUGCUAUUUGUUCCCGGAGCCAUCGAAGAGGAAAGCGGAAAUCCUGUCAAGAGUUGCAGGGCAGGAGCAGUACCAUUCGUCGAAAACGGGGGUGUUGAACAUUUGGUGGAUGGAAGGAAAAGCGCCAGCCAUUUCGCAUUGCGGAUCUAUAAAGGCGUUUAUGACGAUAAAAAUGGUUAAGUUUAGAUUCUUCUCUUCGCUUACGGAGGGGGAUAAACGUAAUAAAGAGGGGGUGGAAUAUAUUUCGUUCUAUUUUUGAGACCUUUUUAAUAGUCUCUCAGGCGGAAAGAAUAGUUUAGGUCGUCGUCCUCAUGCCAGUUUUGAUGCAUUCGUCACUUUCGCGCACCCCCCGAUACUUAUCUAGUAUCUGGGACGUUGCUUGGCUGGAAAAUUGCGGUGCGAAACGCGAUAUUGAAUGUCAUUCAUGUUUUAAUAUCCUUACUGCAUCGAUUCGACGCUGUUUCGAAAUUGGAAUUAUGUACAGCUGCCUCGUGCUUAAGUGGCCCGGAAGGUGGAUGGAGAUAUAUCGAAUAACUAUUCUUUUAACCGUCAUUCGAUAUUUUUCGAACGUUGCCUCGCCAGUCACGUGAACGAAUUGGGUAACUAGUUUCUGAGCGUGUUUACCAUGCCAGGGACACUACAGAUCAGAAACGGGCUUAACGCUUCAUUCUGUUAGAAACAAGCAGGUGUUAAUUUAUAGAAUGUGUUGAAAAUUCGCUUUUAUAUACAAUACACUUUUAUAACAAGUAUAAUUUUCGGUAUAAAUUCUCCCCGCGCUAUACCAAAAAAAUUCCUAAGUAAAUCGGAUUAUCGAAUGCUCUUUUUUUGUCCCCCGACGAUAACCAGGUUUUCCGAUCGAUUUUUUCGUCCAAAAGUGGAACUUGUUAACGAGAUCGCGCGUUUAAAGCCGGAGUAAUUCUCAAAAAUAGAUUGAUUAGUGGGACAAUGUCCGUUUACAAGGCCUUGAACGAGGCCGGGUACAAAUGAGUUGUUAUAGUGCGGGAAAGAGCGCCGAUGCAUCACAGUCUUUCGCCUUUUGUCUGCUUGGCUGUUUCGAUCUAGUCUUCCAUUUUACCUGAACCGUGUCUUUCGAUUUGGACGGCUGCCAUUUUUCUUUCUACUGUAUAUUUUUUUUUCUUUUAUCGUCAUCAUCACAAAGAAUUGCGAAACGUACUGGAAUACCAGACUCGUAAAAAAAAAAACGGUUACAUACGCCGUGCGGGAAUGUGCGAGUUUGCGGAUAGAGCACAUUGCGUUUACCACUUAAAAUAUUAUCUGUUUUUGUAUGUUUGUACUCUCCCACUUUCCCAGCAACAGGUUCUGCAAGUCGUCGUCAUUACAAUCUAGUUAAGCCAGGCUAGAGGUAGUCGGGUAUGUGUACCUGGAGGCCAUAGGACCGACUCAUAACCGUAAACGAGGGGUGGUGGAAAGGACUCUGAACGACACGUUCCUGGAACCGAGCCAAGUCUAUAUUUAAUGUUGAUACGAGGUGCAUCCGACUUUCCGCAUUUCGGUGUAUCACUACUUACAAUGCUUUUUGUUAUCUGGGGACUUUGGUCGAGAGAGACACGUUUUAAUCCCAUGCAACUCAUUCCCGCUCUACCCACGCCAUUUAAAUGUGGAUCGUUCUAGCUACGGUCGUGUACGUGUAGUGCAGUUUUUUCUACUAUGUACACCCUAUUCGGUUAAUAAUAGCUUUAAUGGAAGAAUAUUGUUAGUUAAAAUAUUUUUCCUUAAAGAGAACAAUAUACUUUAUACAAAAAUGAUGCUACCUGAACAAUAGAAGAAUUUUUUGAAUUCAUAAUCAUAUUUUAAUAUCGUAAUUAAUGCUGAAUUAGCGUAUUUUAUUUCUUUAGCAGUACAAAGUACAAUAAAUUGCGUUUGUGAUUAUUACUUAAAUUUAUAUCUAUAUUGCAUUUAAGUCGAUUCCGCUGUUAGUUUUUCUUUUUAAUCUAUAAUGAAAUGUUUACCCUUGGAAUUGAUUUUGUUGUACAAAGUCCUUGAUAUGAAUAAUAUGUGGAAAGAAAAUUUUCCUGUGACUCAUACGUAGAGAAUGGCUCAUUUAAUAGCAGCUGUUUUUCCUCUAUGAUGAUUUAAACCAAAAAUUGAUGAUGAAAUCAAUCAUGUGAAUUUAAAACAAAAUUUUGUGCCUAACAGUGAUGAGUUUUAUUGCUAUUUUUGUUUAUUAAUUUUAACAAUAGCU